RNAcentral lists this ribosomal RNA (482 nucleotides) under uncultured bacterium. Its description in RNAcentral is "bacterial SSU rRNA". It matches the Rfam family "Bacterial small subunit ribosomal RNA", at positions 29 to 506 of the family's 1533-position model. The record is from RNAcentral.
UUGAACGCUGGCGGAAUGCUUUACACAUGCAAGUCGAACGGCAGCACGGGGGCAACCCUGGUGGCGAGUGGCGAACGGGUGAGUAACACAUCGGAACGCGUCCUGUAAUGGGGGAUAACCUGGCGAAAGCCAGGCUAAUACCGCAUACGUCCUGAGGGAGAAAGCGGGGGAUCGCAAGACCUCGCGCGAUUGGAGUGGCCGAUGUCAGAUUAGCUAGUUGGUGGGGUAAAGGCCUACCAAGGCGACGAUCUGUAGCGGGUCUUAGAGGAUGAUCCGCCACACUGGGACUGAGACACGGCCCAGACUCCUACGGGAGGCAGCAGUGGGGAAUUUUGGACAAUGGGCGAAAGCCUGAUCCAGCCAUGCCGCGUGCGGGAAGAAGGCCUUCGGGUUGUAAACCGCUUUCAGCCGGAAAGAAAUCGCCACUUCUAAUACGAGUGGUGGAUGACGGUACCGGAAGAAGAAGCACCGGCUAACUACGU